RNAcentral lists this small RNA (116 nucleotides) under Pectobacterium betavasculorum. RNAcentral's name for it is "RtT RNA". It matches the Rfam family "RtT RNA". Rfam says of the family: This family represents a bacterial cis-regulatory element known as RtT RNA. The record is from RNAcentral. Lineage: Bacteria; Pseudomonadati; Pseudomonadota; Gammaproteobacteria; Enterobacterales; Pectobacteriaceae.
GUUGAUGUUGAAUCGUGAUGGAUGAGAACCGAAAGGUUCGACAAAAUCGGCAGUAUCGAUUUUGAACAACGCCAAGGCGUUGGCCCGAAGGGCGAGUAAUCCUGCACGACCCACCA